This 253-nucleotide ribosomal RNA is filed under the name uncultured bacterium. RNAcentral describes it as "partial 16S ribosomal RNA". It matches the Rfam family "Bacterial small subunit ribosomal RNA", at positions 524 to 776 of the family's 1533-position model. The record is from RNAcentral.
UACAGAGGGGGCAAGCGUUAUUCGGAAUUAUUGGGCGUAAAGGGCGCGUAGGCGGCCUGGCAAGUGGAAGGUGAAAUCCCUCGGCUUAACCGAGGAACUGCCCUCCAAACUGCUUGGCUUGAGUCCGGGAGAGGUGAGUGGAAUUCCCAGUGUAGCGGUGAAAUGCGUAGAUAUGCGGAGGAACACCGAUGGCGAAGGCAAUCCCCUGGGCCUGCACUGACGCUCAUGCACGAAAGCGUGGGGAGCAAACAGG